Molecule: ribosomal RNA, 373 nt
Filed under: Lynx canadensis (Canada lynx)
Lineage: Eukaryota; Metazoa; Chordata; Mammalia; Carnivora; Felidae
Description: partial 16S ribosomal RNA
Rfam family: Bacterial large subunit ribosomal RNA
Source: RNAcentral
UUUGUUCCCUAAAUAGGGACUUGUAUGAAUGGCCACACGAGGGCUUUACUGUCUCUUACUCCAAUCCGUGAAAUUGACCUUCCCGUGAAGAGGCGGGAAUAUAACAAUAAGACGAGAAGACCCUGUGGAGCUUUAAUUAACCGGCCCAAAGAGACCCCAUUAUCUAACCGACAGGAACAACAAACCUCUGCUAUGGGCCGACAAUUUAGGUUGGGGUGACCUCGGAGAAUAGAACAACCUCCGAGUGAUUUAAAUCAAGACUAACCAGUCAAAAGUAUUACAUCACUUAUUUAUCCAAAAACUUGAUCAACGGAACAAGUUACCCCAGGGAUAACAGCGCAAUCCUAUUUUAGAGUCCAUAUCGACAAUGAGG